CUUCCUUCUCUCCCCCCAAGCCUCCAUAUUUAUUUCCUUCCUACUAAAAUUUUCUUCCACAUUCCCUCUCAUCCAGUCCUCAAUGAAUCCUGAGGACAGCUAUCAGUGGUCACUCUCUUGGGCUUGAAAUGGAACAGAUCUUCUUGUUCCAUCUCUUUCUGAUAGCGCCAGUUCCUGCUGAGGACAGAACAUUGUCUUCUUUUCUCCCUGCCUCAGGCAGAUGGCAGGGAGUGUUGUGUGUUCCCACAAAGGAGCGUGCUGUCCCCGCUCCCGAGUCUCUCAGCGAGCCCUGUCAUGGAAGGCAUCCAGGAGAAUGUGGAACUCCGCACCCGCUUUCUCAGAACAGAGGAGCAUCCAUGACCCUCAGAAUCACAGCAUUGAGAGGUAUGUAUCAACUCCAGGUCUCUGCAUUUGUCCGCGUUCUUCACUGUCAUGUGGCUCCUCCCGAUGUGAUAGCAAAGAUGCCCGUGGACAAACCAGGCUUGGGUCCAUCAUGUUGGCAAUCUGGAGGAAGCCGAGCACUUUUUCUCCAACUGACUCAGUCCCAGGACUGGCUCUCAUUUGCCCAGCUUGUGCAGAAUCUCAUUGUCCUAAUGUUAAAUAUAUAUCAUCAGUGCUCAAUGUUACAGCUUCAAACAUAGAAGAUACAAGAAGUAAAUGCUGAGAUUUCGCUAUUUGUUAACCUAUCAUGUGAUGAACCUAUACAAAUUGUGUAAAGCAAAUGUUUUCAGGCAUUGGAUGUCAAGCAGCACAGGACUAUCAACCUGAAGGAAAGAGAAUCACACAAGAUGAGCCUCAUAUUUAUCCUGGCUUUCCGCUUCGGAGCACUCUCUCAACUUCAACACAGAGAAGUGAAACCCAAGUGAAAGAGUAUUGCUAAACCAAGGAGGCAGACCUCAUGUUUGUUCAAGAGUACCCAAGAGAUAGGAUCUGUAAGAGGCACACAGGACCACAUUUGUUCUACCACGCUAUGCUGAAUAUGAGGCAAAAGUUAACACCUGGAAAUUUUGCUAUCCUGAAAUGAGGCAGUGCAUUGUGGAGAAAAAAAGAAUGGACUCUUCUAUUAAAUGAACGUAAGUGAGCAAGCUGUUUAUAAACUAUAAAAGUGACAAAUAUGUAUAAUUAUAUUUAAAUGUUAUCAUUACAAAUUGUUAAGGCAGUAUUGCACCCUACGGGCUUUGGAAACCGUGACCAUUUGCAUUCAUUAUCGAUCAUUGCAUAAAAAUAAUCACAAAACUAAAAAAAAAAAAAAAAAAAAAA
RNAcentral lists this long non-coding RNA (1260 nucleotides) under Homo sapiens (human). RNAcentral describes it as "long independently transcribed non-coding RNA 1591 (LINC01591)". Lineage: Eukaryota; Metazoa; Chordata; Mammalia; Primates; Hominidae. The record is from RNAcentral.